GAUGAACGCUGGCGGCGUGCUUAACACAUGCAAGUCGAACGGUGAAGGCGGAGCUUGCUCUGCUGGAUCAGUGGCGAACGGGUGAGUAACACGUGAGCAAUCUGCCCCUGACUCUGGGAUAAGCGCUGGAAACGGCGUCUAAUACUGGAUACGAGCUGCGAAGGCAUCUUCAGCAGCUGGAAAGAAUUUCGGUCAGGGAUGAGCUCGCGGCCUAUCAGCUUGUUGGUGAGGUAAUGGCUCACCAAGGCGUCGACGGGUAGCCGGCCUGAGAGGGUGACCGGCCACACUGGGACUGAGACACGGCCCAGACUCCUACGGGAGGCAGCAGUGGGGAAUAUUGCACAAUGGGCGAAAGCCUGAUGCAGCAACGCCGCGUGAGGGACGACGGCCUUCGGGUUGUAAACCUCUUUUAGCAGGGAAGAAACGAAAGUGACGGUACCUGCAGAAAAAGCGCCGGCUAACUACGUG
Molecule: ribosomal RNA, 468 nt
Filed under: uncultured bacterium
Lineage: Bacteria
Description: partial 16S ribosomal RNA
Rfam family: Bacterial small subunit ribosomal RNA
Source: RNAcentral